UACGGAGGGGGCUAGCGUUGUUCGGAAUUACUGGGCGUAAAGCGCACGCAGGCGGAUUGAUAAGUCAGGGGUGAAAUCCCGGGGCUCAACCUCGGAAUUGCCUUUGAUACUGUCUGUCUUGAGUUCGGGAGAGGUUGGCGGAAUUCCUAGUGUAGAGGUGAAAUUCGUAGAUAUUAGGAAGAACACCAGUGGCGAAGGCGGCCAACUGGCCCGAUACUGACGCUCAUGUGCGAAAGCGUGGGGAGCAAACAGG
RNAcentral lists this ribosomal RNA (253 nucleotides) under uncultured bacterium. RNAcentral describes it as "partial 16S ribosomal RNA". It matches the Rfam family "Bacterial small subunit ribosomal RNA", at positions 524 to 776 of the family's 1533-position model. The record is from RNAcentral.